UAGAAAGUUGGUGCAAAGUUUGAGUCUCUGCUUGUCAAAGUGGACUAAAAACCUCGUCAGGAUUCUAUGAGCUGCUAUGAAACAAUAGGAAAACGUCCUCUCCAGGUGCUCGUCCUCCGCCUCGGCCCUGUGGACCACAAACAUCAAAACGUCACGAGUCCCGAAGGAGCUGUGUGUGUGUGGGUCCCGGACCAGCGCGUCCCGUUUGUUGACCAGUAUGACCAGUUCGUCCAGCAGCAGCUGCUCUCGUCUCUUCUGGGCUUCGGUUUUCUGCCAGUCUGCAAAAAUCAGAGGAAGCUUCAGACUUUUGACACCUGAAGGAAGAAAACGUUGCGUCACUCUGAGUGGAAAAAAACGUCAUCUCUACAAAACCGACGUCUUUAAAAGAGAGAUUCCCAACUUCAGGAGUUUGAACGGUGAACCCGCGGGUCAAAGGUCGUCCUGUUGGACCGAGCUGAGGAUCAGUCGAGACACACUCCGUUCUGAGCAAACGUCCUUGAGGCGUAUUGUCACAGCGAUGUGCAGCUUUUACGCGCAUGGAGAUACAAGGACUCACGCUCCCACAGGACCAUGCUGCCACCGUGAAGGCCCAGGUAUUGAUCAGAGAACUGAAAAUGUUUGAUCAGAAGGAAAUCCUCGUGUUUCAGCCUGAAUGAAGACAUUAUCAAGUCAUGUAGUGAUGAUUUGGGUGAAAAUUGAAAAUAAUUAAUUUCCUGAUCAGUUCCUUUAAAUAAACAAGCAGGUGAGCCCCCCCCCCCUCCCAACCCCCUGACUCUAGCCUCAGUUCUCUAGGGACUUUCCAGGAAGGGGCCCCACGGGGCCCAGGUGGGACCCUGAUCCAAAUCCCCUCAGCCUCCCGCAGGAGGGGGGGCUGCCUACAGGGGAGCACCCACUUCCCCCUGGGGCUCAAAUAUCCGCCUCGGCUCUAUGUUCAGCCGCCACCGGGGGCAGCGUUACGCCCUCCCUCCGCCCCCCUCCCAAAAAAACACGAACAUCACCACAACGUUUCUGUGCGAUUUUAACAAAUCCUCCGCACGUUUCUCCAACACAUCCUGAUCCGAAGUCGCCUCGGCUGAAGAGCCCCAACGUCAGAGUGUGCAGAUUUAUUUGGCUGCUUUGCAGCUUAAGGAGAGCAGGAUAUCUUCAGCUUCUCUGCAGCCCUACACACACACACACACACACACACCCACACACAUAUCCCAGAGAGAAUCCAAACACAGCACCGCACUGCUUCUGUAGGCUAACUUCUCUCUAUCAAUAUUGAUCCCAGAGGAAUAGGAAUGUUGUGAAUUGUCAGUCCUAAAAUACGUGAGCUUUAUUAAAAAUAAAUAUCCACC
Molecule: long non-coding RNA, 1337 nt
Organism: Xiphophorus maculatus (southern platyfish)
Lineage: Eukaryota; Metazoa; Chordata; Actinopteri; Cyprinodontiformes; Poeciliidae
Exons: 3
Source: RefSeq, a predicted model, not a curated record